UCACAAAACGCAAUAUUGUAAACUGACGGCUUGGACAGAUCACAAGAGAAAGCGGUUGAAAUGCGCAUUCAUGAUUGUGGCAAGUAAAAGAGGGUGAGAUGUCUUUGCCACUAUAACUAAAACUGCAUUUGGGGAAUGUAAGUCAACUGUACCAGAGCCCCACUCGAUUCUGAUUACCCAGGGGAUUCCGCUAUUGAAGAUUUUCCCACCAGCCUGGUCGACUGGAAUAUAAAGUUUCUCCUUUCUGUGGCCCUGUUUAAUGAUCUCCUUCCAGCUGCC
Long non-coding RNA from Acipenser ruthenus (sterlet), 279 nucleotides. RefSeq lists it as uncharacterized. The transcript has 3 exons. Lineage: Eukaryota; Metazoa; Chordata; Actinopteri; Acipenseriformes; Acipenseridae. The record is from RefSeq and is a predicted model, not a curated record.